RNAcentral lists this ribosomal RNA (478 nucleotides) under uncultured bacterium. RNAcentral's name for it is "bacterial SSU rRNA". It matches the Rfam family "Bacterial small subunit ribosomal RNA", at positions 29 to 526 of the family's 1533-position model. The record is from RNAcentral.
AACGAACGCUGGCGGCGUGGAUAAGACAUGCAAGUCGAACGGAGGAUGUGUAGCUUGCUAUAACAUCCUUAGUGGCGCACGGGUGAGUAACGCGUGAGCAACCUGCCCAUAAGUUGGGGAUAGCCCUGGGAAAACGGGAUUAAUACCGAAUGCGGUCGCAAUACUAAAGCAGUAAUGCGCUUAUGGAGGGGCUCGCGUCCUAUUAGUUAGUUGGUGAGGUAACGGCUCACCAAGGCGAUGACGGGUAGCCGGUCUGAGAGGAUGUCCGGCCACACUGGAACUGAGACACGGUCCAGACACCUACGGGUGGCAGCAGUCGAGAAUCAUUCACAAUGGGGGCAACCCUGAUGGUGCGACGCCGCGUGGGGGAAGAAGGUCUUCGGAUUGUAAACCCCUGUCAUGUGGGAGCAAGCAGCAAUGUUGAUAGUACCACAAGAGGAAGAGACGGCUAACUCUGUGCCAGCCGCCGCGGUAAUAC